Non-coding RNA from Desarmillaria tabescens, 95 nucleotides. The record is from the annotation of a RefSeq genome assembly. Lineage: Eukaryota; Fungi; Basidiomycota; Agaricomycetes; Agaricales; Physalacriaceae.
GCUACGAUAGAUCAAUGGCAGAUCGUCUCCAACUUAUAUUCGUAGAAGACAUCACAAGUUAGGAGGAAAUUAUGGUUUGACUCCGUAUUGUAGUA